RNAcentral lists this ribosomal RNA (464 nucleotides) under Vreelandella stevensii. RNAcentral's name for it is "partial 16S ribosomal RNA". It matches the Rfam family "Bacterial small subunit ribosomal RNA", at positions 338 to 795 of the family's 1533-position model. Lineage: Bacteria; Pseudomonadati; Pseudomonadota; Gammaproteobacteria; Oceanospirillales; Halomonadaceae. The record is from RNAcentral.
CCUACGGGUGGCUGCAGUGGGGAAUAUUGGACAAUGGGCGAAAGCCUGAUCCAGCCAUGCCGCGUGUGUGAAGAAGGCCUUCGGGUUGUAAAGCACUUUCAGUGGGGAAGAAAGCCUUGGGGCUAAUACCCUCGAGGAAGGACAUCACCCACAGAAGAAGCACCGGCUAACUCCGUGCCAGCAGCCGCGGUAAUACGGAGGGUGCGAGCGUUAAUCGGAAUUACUGGGCGUAAAGCGCGCGUAGGCGGUCUGAUAAGCCGGUUGUGAAAGCCCCGGGCUCAACCUGGGAACGGCAUCCGGAACUGUCAGGCUAGAGUGCAGGAGAGGAAGGUAGAAUUCCCGGUGUAGCGGUGAAAUGCGUAGAGAUCGGGAGGAAUACCAGUGGCGAAGGCGGCCUUCUGGACUGACACUGACGCUGAGGUGCGAAAGCGUGGGUAGCAAACAGGAUUAGAACCCGGGUAGUC